GUGAACGCUGGCGGCGUGUCUAAGGCAUGCAAGUCGAACGGUGCGAGCAAUCGCACAGUGGCAAACGGGUGAGUAACACAUUGGCAAUUUACCCUCUAUAGGUGAAUAACUCUCCGAAAGGAGAGCUAAUACACCGUACGCUCAUUUGGCAUAAGUCAAAUGAGGAAAGAUUUAUCGAUAGAGGAUAAGCCUAUGGCCUAUCAGCUAGUUGGUGAGGUAACGGCCCACCAAGGCUACGACGGGUAGCGGGUGUGAGAGCAUGACCCGCCUCAUGGGGACUGAGACACUGCCCUGACUCCUACGGGAGGCUGCAGUUAAGAAUCUUCCGCAAUGGCCGAAAGGCUGACGGAGCGACGCCGCGUGUAGGAUGAAAUCCUUCGGGAUGUAAACUACUUUUAUGUGGGACGAAUAUUUUGACGGUACCACAAGAAUAAGGGGCUGCUAAACUCGU
Molecule: ribosomal RNA, 451 nt
Filed under: uncultured bacterium
Lineage: Bacteria
Description: bacterial SSU rRNA
Rfam family: Bacterial small subunit ribosomal RNA
Source: RNAcentral